Long non-coding RNA from Camelus ferus (Wild Bactrian camel), 82 nucleotides. It matches the Rfam family "HOXA11 antisense RNA 1 conserved region 3". The record is from Rfam. Lineage: Eukaryota; Metazoa; Chordata; Mammalia; Artiodactyla; Camelidae.
CGCCCGGUAUCCUGGAGCUGAGGACUCGGAAAACCAUGCAGUUGAGGCGAGGCUUUGGCUGCUUUAGAGGCGCUUCUCCUGG